GCUGGGCGUGGUGGCUCAUGCCUGUGAUCCCAGCUAUUUGGGAGGCUGAGGCAGGAGAAUCGCUUGAACCCGGGAGGUGGAGGUUGCAGUGAGCUGAGAUCGUGCCACUGCACUCCAGCCUGGGUGACAGAGCGAGACUCCGCCUCAA
This is an unclassified non-coding RNA of Pongo abelii (Sumatran orangutan), 148 nucleotides long. It matches the Rfam family "Metazoan signal recognition particle RNA". From Rfam's summary of the family: The signal recognition particle (SRP) is a universally conserved ribonucleoprotein. It is involved in the co-translational targeting of proteins to membranes. The eukaryotic SRP consists of a 300-nucleotide 7S RNA and six proteins: SRPs 72, 68, 54, 19, 14, and 9. Lineage: Eukaryota; Metazoa; Chordata; Mammalia; Primates; Hominidae. The record is from Ensembl.